This 253-nucleotide ribosomal RNA is filed under the name uncultured bacterium. RNAcentral's name for it is "partial 16S ribosomal RNA". It matches the Rfam family "Bacterial small subunit ribosomal RNA", at positions 524 to 776 of the family's 1533-position model. The record is from RNAcentral.
UACGGAGGGUGCAAACGUUGCUCGGAAUCAUUGGGCGUAAAGCGCACGUAGGCGGACUGUUAAGUCGGACGUGAAAUCCCUCAGCUUAACUGAGGAAGUGCAUUCGAAACUGGCAGUCUUGAGUAUGGAAGAGGGUCGCGGAAUUCCCGGUGUAGAGGUGAAAUUCGUAGAGAUCUGGAAGAACACCAAAGGCGAAGGCAGCAUCCUGGGAAGUUCCUGACGCUCGGGUGCGAAAGCCAGGGGAGCGAACGGG